AAGUACGUAUUUCAAAUUCCAGUCUUGUGGACUCUUUUUUUGCAAAAAAAAAAAUUUGAUUCCUCUUUUUUUAUGUAAAAUAAAUAAUUAUUAUGAAACAAACUUUUAAUUCUCUUUAUCUCUAAAAUAGAAAAAAAAAUAUAUUUAUCCAAUUUUUUGAUAAUUCAAAGAUAUCUACAGUGAAUUUAUAUUUUAAUUCGAAAAUUAUUUAAUUUUUUUUAUUUCUAAAACAGAAAAAAAAAUUCAUGCUUAUCGAAAAUUUUGCCAAAAUAUCUACUAUAAAUCUAUAUUUCAAUUUAAAAUUUAAAAUUAAUUUAAAAUUUCAAAUUUUGGACUAUCAACGUAUUACUGAUUAGUUUUGAUUUUUUCAAAUAUGUCACUACUGUUACAGUCCAUUAGAAAAAUUUAGUUAACCAUAAGUUAAAUACUUACGCCGGUUAGUUUUUGACAUUUUUACCUCUUCUAUAUUGUAUUGUUAAUGCUUUUGGAGGGAUAUAUUUGUAAUGGCAAAAUUGAAAAUAUAAAACGGUAACAAAUCAGAAGGAUAUAUUUAAAAAUAUUAAAACAUUUAUAAGCAACAAAUAGGAAGGAUAUUUUUGAAAAUAUUAUUACUUUUGUAGGAAUAAUAUAUAAAAGUUAAAUUUUAUAGGAAUAUAUUUGUCAUUAACUGUGUUUACAUAGAUCCGUAACGAAAUUAACUCUCUUCUAAUCAAUAUUAUAUACAAAAU
This 728-nucleotide long non-coding RNA is filed under the name Ananas comosus (pineapple). Its description in RNAcentral is "long non-coding RNA (ACOM_LNC013167)". Lineage: Eukaryota; Viridiplantae; Streptophyta; Magnoliopsida; Poales; Bromeliaceae. The record is from RNAcentral.